RNAcentral lists this long non-coding RNA (1531 nucleotides) under Rattus norvegicus (Norway rat). RNAcentral describes it as "long non-coding RNA NONRATT011414". Lineage: Eukaryota; Metazoa; Chordata; Mammalia; Rodentia; Muridae. The record is from RNAcentral.
GGGAAUGCUGAGCUUCAGUGUGCAGCAGGACUGGGUGGUUUGGAAGUAAAGGUAGCUAAGAAAUAAGCAGUCUUGGGUGGUUAGUAAAAGACUAGAUAGUUCUCGGCCUUCUCAACUUGUGACUCAUGUGUCUCCUUCCACUGUGCAGCAGACGCCAACAUGCAGAUCUUCGUGAAGACCCUGACGGGCAAGACCAUCACUCUUGAGGUCGAGCCCAGUGACACCAUCGAGAAUGUCAAGGCCAAGAUCCAAGACAAGGAAGGUGGGCUGUGCUGUUGAGGGCUCUGUCCUAGGGGGUGGGAGUGCUUGAGCUUGGUUGCCUCUGGGUGACUGGAGUGGUCUCAGCUACUACUGGAAGGAGCUGUAACCAGCCUGGUUUUCUGGUGCACAGGCAUCCCCCCUGACCAGCAGAGACUGAUCUUUGCUGGCAAACAGCUGGAGGAUGGCCGCACCCUGUCCGACUACAACAUCCAGAAAGGUAAGGGCUCUAUUGCUUGUAGGUGGGGCUGACUGUGGACUGCUGUUCCAGUCACCUGGCAUCUUCUCUAUGUGUUUACAGUGGGAAUGUGUGGUUGUUGUGAGCUAGGGGAAGAAGACAGCUUUUUGAAAUAGGUUCCUCUCAAGCUUUGUGUGGGCUUCAGGGCUUGAGCCCAGGUCACUAGACAGGCCCAUCUGUGUGCCCUUACUUGCCACGCCUUUACUUCUGUCUUUUUGUUAUUGUGUCAGCUUAGGCCCAGAGUGUCUAGAAGAACUCCUUUUAGCUCGUGUUAGCUUCAAACCCAUUUGAGCAUUUAUUCCGAUGUUCUGUGUUCAUGUCACCACACUCAAACACAACACACACACACAUACAUUGUGUGCAUCUCUGCAUAGCACUGACUAUUCUGUGCUCAAAUCCCGUGUGCCAUUACGUCUGGCUGCCUGUUCUCUGUGUGGGUGUGUGUAAGCCUGAGUGGAGCACCGGGGAGUGAGGUGCCAGUGUGUCAUGGCACCUGGAUGCUUGCUGUGCUGUGUAGGGCUGACUGACUGCCACUGGGCAUGUCUCUUGCAGUUUGACUUGUGCUUGCACGGGACCCAUAAAGCUCCCCGAUGCCAGCACCGUAGUGACCGCCCCUUCUUCUGGCCUCAGUCUCAGUUCUUUACUGUCUGGCCUCUGUGGAAGAAUCUUUGGGGUGUGCUCCUUGGGGUUUUUUGGGCAGCCCACACCCUGUCCUGUGUGAGAUCUACCCUGAGCUGCCCGGGCGGGACUCAGCUUUUGUCAUCUUUGACAGAGUCCACCUUGCACCUGGUGCUGCGUCUUCGCGGUGGCAUCAUCGAGCCGUCCCUUCGUCAGCUUGCCCAGAAGUACAACUGUGACAAGAUGAUCUGCCGCAAGUGCUACGCACGCCUGCACCCCCGUGCAGUCAACUGCCGCAAGAAGAAGUGCGGCCACACCAACAACCUGCGCCCCAAGAAGAAGGUCAAAUAGAGCUGGGCCAUACCUGGCCUGUGACCCCGGGACCAAAUAAAGUCCCCUUCCAUCGACUGGAGCAGU